GAACUUCGAGUCUGGAAAACGGCCCAGCACCCACUUCCUAGGGAGCGCACGUGUGAGGCCAGCAGGACCAGGCAGCUGGUGGGAAGAAGACCCUGCGAGCUCAGCCCGUCCUUUCCGGGGGGAGGUGGUCCCUGGAGCAACCAGAGCUCUAAAACAUCUUCACUCGUGGCCUCUUCAGGGACGAAGAGCUGGUUCUUCCACGGGCUCAGCUUUGAAGUGUUCAUUUGCACACACAGGACCAGCCAGGAGCAUCGCAGCCAAAGGCCGUCUCCAUCCGAGUGUUGCUUGUUUUUGAGCCCGGAGUCUCUUCCUUGGGGACAGACCCCUCUCAGCCCUCGACACCUGCUGUGUGUUUCGCAGUUACAGCCUUUCAGGCUGGACCGGCCGCAUUUUGAGGGCCCAGCGGCCGUCUGCCUGAGUCAGCGCGGACCUAAAGCAAACUGCACCGCCAAACUCGGCUCCUCUGUUGUCCAGGACCCUGCUGAGGCCACGGGUCUGAGCAUCCUCCUCUCGGCGCUCAGGAUGUGGUACAGAUACACAAUGGAAUAUUACUCAGCCAUAAAAAGAAUGAAAUAAUGCCAUUUGCAGCAACAUGGAUGCAGCUAGAGCGUCUCAUACUAAACGAAAUUAAGUUGGAAAAGAGAAAGACAAAUACCUUACAAGAUCAC
Molecule: long non-coding RNA, 668 nt
Filed under: Sus scrofa (pig)
Lineage: Eukaryota; Metazoa; Chordata; Mammalia; Artiodactyla; Suidae
Description: lncRNA (ENSSSCG00035060970.1)
Source: RNAcentral